Molecule: ribosomal RNA, 411 nt
Organism: Lupinus angustifolius (narrow-leaved blue lupine)
Lineage: Eukaryota; Viridiplantae; Streptophyta; Magnoliopsida; Fabales; Fabaceae
Rfam family: Bacterial small subunit ribosomal RNA
Source: Rfam
CUCUAGUAUAGUCCCAUCUAGGAAAAAGGAAAACUACUAUCUCGAUCACCCCAUCUUUAGCUAAGAGAGAGGAGAUCACGUAGUCAGGCUAAUCAGUAAUGAUACUUGAAGGAAGACGAAAACAUAAACAUCGUCUAACUCUGUGUCAGCAGCCGCGGUAAGACAGAGGAUGCAAGCGUUAUCCAGAAUGAUUGGGCGUAAAGCGUCUAUAGGUGGCUUUUUAAGUUCGCCGUCAAAUCCUAAGGCUCAACCCUGGUAGGCGGUGGAAACUACCAAGCUGGAGUAUGGUACGGGCACAGGGAAUUUUUGAUGGAGCAGUGAAAUGUGUAGAGAUCGGAAAGAACACCAACGGCGAAAGCACUCUGUUGGGCCGACAAACCCUGAACCCUAAACCGCUAAACAACCCCCCUA